This is a long non-coding RNA of Saccostrea cuccullata (small rock oyster), 1704 nucleotides long. RefSeq lists it as uncharacterized. The transcript has 3 exons. NCBI's taxonomy places the organism in Eukaryota, Metazoa, Mollusca, Bivalvia, Ostreida, Ostreidae. The record is from RefSeq and is a predicted model, not a curated record.
AUUGGGCAUAUAAUUGGAUAAUUCUGUCCUCAACAUGGAAGAAUUGGUUUGUUCUUAACCAUCUAUAAUCCAUUCUCUAUGAAGUGAAGCCUGGCUGCUGGUCUUCCUUUGGAAAUACACAGUUAGUCAAUCAACAUAGAAACACACAAACUUGAAGGAUUCUCUUGUGAGGGCUUAUGGAAAUGAUCUAUAUCUACUCAAGAAAGGACUCAGGAUUGUAUCUUUCACUGUCAGACACUGACUAUGGAUAAAGUGUAAUCAUUUAUCAGACUGAGAUCUAGUCAAAUCAAGUAUUGAAAAUAUGAUUUUCUGAGAGCAUGAGCUCUUUAAAAACUAAUUCUCAAUGACCUCAAAGUAUCUGAAAGUGACUUUUAUUUUUACCAAUUCAUAUUGAAGACUGUUGUUAUGUAUGGGAAUUACACAUUUAAACCUUUUAUUUUUCAUCUAAUUUUUACAACCCCCUAGAAAUUAUCACAGAUAUCCAGAUGCUGGAUUUAAUGUUAUUAUUUAACUUUCCUGGAAUUGUAAAUAUAUUUUGUUUGUGUAUGUAUCAUGUUUAAUUUUGAAUUUAAAUUGGGUCUCAAUAAGACCCCCAAUAAAGAUGCAAGUGUCCCAUAAUCUUUGUUUUAAUAAUAUCUUGAAUAUCUUUAUCAUACCAUAUUCAUCAUACUAAUUACAUAUAGAAUGAUUGUAGGAAUGCACUUUGUUGUUAAGGACACUUUGUCAAGGUCAAAGCAUAAGAUUAUUGAGAUGACUUCUUUGACAAUAAUUUGUAACUUACAAACUUCACAUCAUAAGUACACACUCAGAUGAAGAAUCAAUAAGAUAUUUCUAUAGAUUUUUUUUGGAUCAUUUACUCCUGGGUAAAAGUUAGUAACUGAGAUUACUGAUUUGAGUCCUGUAAUGCAAUAACUUUAACAUUGUGUGAUAACUUAUAGACUUUAUAAAAAUUAGGUGCAAAUUCUUAGGAUAGGAAUGAAAUGUUAAUCAAAUGUACAAUGUUCAAAGGUGUUUAUAUGACUAUUACUAUGUAAUACCUUGGUUUUCUGUAAAAAUCCUAUAUUCACUACAUAGAUAAAGACCGGUAUAAUAUAUAUUUUAAACUAUGAUGAAGGAAAUAAAAAGGUCAAAAGCUCUCCCCUUCAUAUCUGUCAUAUUCUGUCAUACACAACAAUGGAUAAAUUGCAGUCAUUUAACAAAAUGAGGUCUAAUCAAAUCCUAGAAUUGAUAUUGUUAUUUUCUGAUAAUAUGAGAUCUUUAAAAAAAAAAUUCCCAGACUUCAAAGUAUCUUAAUGUGACAUUUAUUUUUACCAAUUCAUAUUGAAGACAGUUGUUAUGUAUGAGAAGUAUACAUUUAAACCUUUUAUUUUUCAUCUUAUUUCUACAACCCCUAACAAAUUACACAGAUGUGUAAAAGCUAGCUUUGGUGUAAUUAUUACUUUCCUGGAACUGCAAAUACAUUUUGUUUGUGUAUGUGUGUGUGUGUCCUAUUUUGAAUUUAAUAGGUCUCAAUAGGACCCCCAUAAAGAUGUUAAGUGUCCCCUGAUCUGUGAUGUAAUAAUAUCUUGAAUAUUUCUAUCAACCAUUAGACUUCAUGCUUACUACACAGAACAGGUUAGAGUAAUACACUUAGUUUUAUAGGACACUUUGUCAGGGUCAAAGCAUGGGAUUAUUGAGAUAACUACCUUUGACAAUAAUUUGUAA